Molecule: small nucleolar RNA, 126 nt
Filed under: Meriones unguiculatus (Mongolian gerbil)
Lineage: Eukaryota; Metazoa; Chordata; Mammalia; Rodentia; Muridae
Description: Small nucleolar RNA SNORA17 (ENSMUGG00000002085.1)
Rfam family: Small nucleolar RNA SNORA17
About the family: snoRNA ACA 17 belongs to the H/ACA family of snoRNAs and is predicted to guide pseudouridylation of the 28S rRNA at positions U4659 and U4598. It shares the same host gene together with ACA43.
Source: RNAcentral
CCUGCCCCUAGAGGUGUUGCAGGUGUGGCUGCUACAUCACAUGUGUAGGUAGCAGACAGGAAAGAGGGCAUGUAUAUGCUCAAUAUUCUGACCUAUGAACAUCUGAAUGAUUAGUAGCCUAACACU